RNAcentral lists this ribosomal RNA (450 nucleotides) under uncultured bacterium. RNAcentral's name for it is "partial 16S ribosomal RNA". It matches the Rfam family "Bacterial small subunit ribosomal RNA", at positions 354 to 796 of the family's 1533-position model. The record is from RNAcentral.
GUGGGGAAUUUUGGACAAUGGGCGCAAGCCUGAUCCAGCAAUGCCGCGUGCAGGAAGAAGGCCUUCGGGUUGUAAACUGCUUUUGUACGGAACGAAAAGGCUCUGGCUAAUACCUGGAGCUCAUGACGGUACCGUAAGAAUAAGCACCGGCUAACUACGUGCCAGCAGCCGCGGUAAUACGUAGGGUGCGAGCGUUAAUCGGAAUUACUGGGCGUAAAGCGUGCGCAGGCGGUGCUGUAAGACAGGCGUGAAAUCCCCGGGCUCAACCUGGGAAUUGCGCUUGUGACUGCAGCGCUGGAGUGCGGCAGAGGGGGAUGGAAUUCCGCGUGUAGCAGUGAAAUGCGUAGAUAUGCGGAGGAACACCGAUGGCGAAGGCAAUCCCCUGGGCCUGCACUGACGCUCAUGCACGAAAGCGUGGGGAGCAAACAGGAUUAGAUACCCGUGUAGUCC